This 217-nucleotide long non-coding RNA is filed under the name Brassica rapa (field mustard). Its description in RNAcentral is "long non-coding RNA (BRAP_LNC000446)". The record is from RNAcentral. Lineage: Eukaryota; Viridiplantae; Streptophyta; Magnoliopsida; Brassicales; Brassicaceae.
UUAAAUCUAAAAAUAAAUAAUAUAUAUAAGUCUAUUUCAGAUACAUUCGAGUAUCCAUACUUUGGUUUGGGUCGGGUUCGGUUUUGGUUCUCUAGAUUACUUGUUCUUAUUGAUCUUAUUGCUUGUUCUUAUGAUUACUCACUAGAUUUUAGGAUAAUUGAAAUAAAAUGAAAGUGUGACUGAUAUCCUGGCAUGAAUCCUGCUGAGUUAGGUUUUU